Molecule: long non-coding RNA, 509 nt
Organism: Anolis sagrei ordinatus
Lineage: Eukaryota; Metazoa; Chordata; Lepidosauria; Squamata; Anolidae
Source: RefSeq, a predicted model, not a curated record
GGAGGGCCGCUCACUCACAAGCUCGCUCGCCCAUCGGGGGGCUCUCCUUGCCCGUCCCGCGCGCCCAGUGCAAUUGGAGAGAAGAGGGAGGGAGGGAGAGAGAGAGAGAGGUACGCAGAAACAAGCUCACGACGGGGCGGCUUCCCUUACCUGCGGAGCCCAGGAGAGAAGCCCCCAGGACAUCCUGCAGUGCAUUUUGCUAUAUUUUUAAUGAAUAUCUCAUUGAGUCUCAACCAAUUCAACAUAGUUUGAAGCAGCCGCAAAAAUGAAGUUUCUGGAGUAUAACUACUUUCAAAGAGUGACUUGAGAGUGUCCUUCAAUAAGGAGCAUGCUUCUCUAAAAUAUGAUGAUUGAGGAGGAGGAGGAGGAGGAGGAGGAAUGUUCCUGCAUGGCAGAAUAGAGUUGUGGUCUUUUCCAGCUCCAUGAUGAUGAUGAUGAUGCCGGUUUAAUAACUCUUAUCAAUGUGAACCAGCUUCUCUUAAGUAAUAAUAAAAAGAAUAAGAAGAAUG